UGCUGGGGAGGGAAAAAGACCCCAGAUACAGAUCAUUGAUCUCUGCCUUUCUUUCCUCAAUGCUUGCCAGCUUGUUGCCUGAAACGUGCUGCUGGAGGUGGUCCCAGUCCCAUGUCCCUGGAGGUCACAGCUGCAACAAAUGCACAGGAAUGGUCUGAUAUCCUUUCUUUGCUCCAGUCAAGAUGAUUUGUGCUAAUGUGCAAUGAGAGAAAUUCAGUGUUUUGCCACACAUGGGGUCUAAGAUACAGCCUGCUGAAGCGAAUAGGAUGCAACUGGCUCAAGUGAUCUUCAGGACCUCUGAAGCGAAGAUGGUGGAAACCCAACAUGAUGCAAGCUUCAAAGUUUCGCUGCAAGUAUCUCCUUUCAAGUGAAAUGAAUUAUACCACUGUCAGUGACAUGGAAGUACUAAUGCAGAAGUAGCCUCUGAACUAUUAAGGCAACAGUGCUGGCAGCACAGAAAAAUGAAGUUUCUAUAGCCUGCUCUGAUGCUACGCUGAGAACACGGUGCUCAGGAUGGGAUAGAGGAAUUUCGCACUGUUUUGUGUUGCCUGUGAUUUAAGGCACAAAUGUGAUGUUCAUCCUAAAGUGGUUAUUUUUAAAAUCUUUCUAGUUCUUGCAACAAUUUUAUCUUGUCUGUUCCUAACUUAUGCUGCAAUACUUCAAAUAUGUAUCUCGUCCAUAAACAACAGUGCACUGAAGAUGCUGAAAAUGAGUGAAUAGUGAGGGGAAGUUUUGCUGGAGCUGUUGUUCAUUGUGUUAACAUCAUCUACCCGUGUCCUCCUGGAUCCCAGCGGAAGUGAUUUUCAUAGGCAUUGAAAAGUUGUUAUGUUGAAGAUAAUGCAACAUUUAACUAAAUGUCACUUAGAGUAUUUUCUUCUAGUUUUCCUUCUGUAAUUUCCUUUCUUUGGCCACCCUUCUGCCGCGUUAGUUAUGAAGACACUUCAUUCUCAGAGCCACCAGAUGAGGAUCCUGAGGCAGAAGUUUGAAGGAAUAGUCAGACCACCACUAAAAGAACAACAUAUGGACAUUCAACAUAGCUACUUCUAGUUUGCCUGUUUGUUUCUCUAUCCUGCAAUAUUCACAUACCUCCAGUCAGACUAAAUUGUGUCACAUAUUUUUCCCUCAGAAGAAACUUUUGAAGAAAGUGUACCAUCUUCUGUGAUUGUUUGCUUUACACAGGCCCUUAUUGGAGGUCAUAGGUGAUUUUUUUGUUUUUUGUUUGUUUGUUUGUUUUUCCUUAUUCCUCAGAUCUAUUUAAAAAUCAUGUAGGUCCUGCAGAUCUUCCAUGUCCAGAUUUUCUCUGCAAAAUCCAGAAACACAAUGCAGACAUGUAUUGUUUGUCCAGGGAUAUGGAAGGCAAAGGAACCGAAUGUAUAUCCAAACUGUUCCAUUUUUCAGCCAUGGUUCUUCUAUCUCUAUCUCUAACCUAACUUGUGACCAGUACCUAUUGCACAGCUCUUCAUUCUUCUGCAUCCUUCGAUAAUAUAAUUUUGAUAUUAUUUAAGAGGCAUUGUCCAAGAUAGAGUUUUAAUUUAGCUACUCUGACUUAAGACAUGCAGAAGAUAUACAAGCAAGCAAAUGCAAGCAAAAUGUUGGGUUGAAAAAAGAUUCUUGGCUCAGCAGACACUGUUUAAUUGCUUCUAGUUCUUUGUUUGGAAUCGAAAGCAGACAUAUAAAACUGUGAUUCCCAGUGUCCUGCUGGCUCAGUCGGUAUCAGAUGGGCUUUAGGGCUCAGCCUUGAUGCUUCCAUGUUGCCACCUUCAUGGAGAAGCUGGUAGUGGCUAUGCAAACUUCAGAGUUUGGGGUUGCUCAGAAAAACUGUAGGUAUUCCUGUACAUCACCAAAGUACUAAUGACGAAUGGAAUUUGUGUUCAUUAUGAAUUUGUUACAAAUGGAGUUCAUAUGGAGUACUAAUUAUGAGUGGAAUUUCUUCUUCUGAGAAUUCUCCAAGUCUAGGAAAUAAGUGGUAUUUAAUUGCAAUUUAUAGCUGGAAAUUCUUCAUUCCAAAGAUCAGGAGAUGAAGCAUUUCUGUAAUAAAACUGGUCUUUGAAUAUGUGUUCUAUUGCACAUGCUAUUUUUUCCUUAUUAGGAGAAUUAACCUCUAGUAUUGAAGAAUACCUUAAGCAGUAAAACUUAAAGAGGGCUCUAAAAACACAGUAUUAAACAGGACAUAUAUCAGUUUAAAUGUAGUAAUAGGUUUUUUAGUUAAACUGUUUAUUACCAUU
Dromaius novaehollandiae (emu) is the source of this 2225-nucleotide long non-coding RNA. RefSeq lists it as uncharacterized. NCBI's taxonomy places the organism in Eukaryota, Metazoa, Chordata, Aves, Casuariiformes, Dromaiidae. The record is from RefSeq and is a predicted model, not a curated record. The transcript has 5 exons.